RNAcentral lists this unclassified non-coding RNA (375 nucleotides) under soil metagenome. RNAcentral's name for it is "partial contains 5.8S ribosomal RNA, internal transcribed spacer 2, and large subunit ribosomal RNA". The stretch from base 1 to 120 matches the Rfam family "5.8S ribosomal RNA", at positions 35 to 154 of the family's 154-position model. The record is from RNAcentral.
GAUGAAGAACGCAGCGAAAUGCGAUAAGUAAUGUGAAUUGCAGAAUUCAGUGAGUCAUCGAAUCUUUGAACGCACAUUGCGCCCGCCAGUAUUCUGGCGGGCAUGCCUGUUCGAGCGUCAUUUCAACCCUCAAGACCCCUUCGGGGGACUUGGUGUUGGGGACCGGCACAGGGGCCUGCCUGCUUGUCUUGCAGCGCCCUCGCCGCCCCCGAAAUGAAUUGGCGGCCUCGUCGCGGCCUCCCCUGCGUAGUAGCACAACCUCGCAACGGGAACGUGACGGCGGCCACUGCCGUAAAACAACCCCAAUUUUAUUAGAGUUGACCUCGAAUCAGGUAGGAAUACCCGCUGAACUUAAGCAUAUCAAUAAGCGGAGGA